This is a long non-coding RNA of Herpailurus yagouaroundi (jaguarundi), 2153 nucleotides long. RefSeq lists it as uncharacterized. NCBI's taxonomy places the organism in Eukaryota, Metazoa, Chordata, Mammalia, Carnivora, Felidae. The record is from RefSeq and is a predicted model, not a curated record. The transcript is spliced from 4 exons.
AAUGAAAGCAUUAAGGAUCAUUUAUCUAACUUUUCUCUACUAAUAGGGCCUCAGAAAAUGAUGUUUCUGCUUUCCUUUGCCCUGUCUUGAUGAUCAAAGAGGGUGUUAGGAGCCCAGCUGAACCGAAAGUAAAAUGGCCUGUGACUCAGAACCAGUCCUGAGGCUUCAGCUGUCAAGUUUACACCCCAGACUCUCAAGAGAAGAAAGAAGGAAGGGAAAAAAAGGCCCACGUCUACACUGGGCUGACUCCCUUUAAAGAGACUUCUCAGCUGUCCCACACCAUAAUUCUGCUUUCAUCUCACUAGUCCAAACUCAGUGUCAAAGUCACCUCUAACUGCAAAAGAGGCUUGGAAAUGCAGUGCUUCAGCUGGUGAUGCAUUCCUAACACGAGUGAACUCAACAAAGGACAUGAGUAGAUCCGAGAAGCACCAAGAAUGAUUGUAGCCGAUGCCUUUGCUUCCCAUCAGCUAUCCUCUCAGGUCUCAUUGUCCCCAGACACACCUGCAGGAAAACAUGAUAGAGAAAGACACAGAGGGCCCCCAAGCUGCAGAUCCUGCCAGAAUUCUAAGGUGUUUUACGUGAACUACAUGAAGAAGUCGACAAGACCAAUGGUAUUUAUAAGUGUUCUCUGUUGUAAGAUAUAUUUUGAUAUAAUUAACAACAGUUCUGAGAAAACAGGCAGGACGUUUGAGGAAACAGGCAGGAGAGGACAACUGGCUGGAAAGAAGCAGAUGAAGAGUUCCAUCUGGCAAAGAUCGAGCACAAAAGAUAAUCUGGGUCACAUUUUGGAGCUAUUGAUUAAAAGUUAACCAACAAAUAUUAACAGAUUUCCCACUCAGAAGAGGGAGAUUUACUUAUUUUGGCCCAGAGGCUAAAGUCAAGGCUAUAGGUGGCUCUCCGUUGACUCCUCUGGAACAUUGUGGAUGGGAAAAUAAGCAGUACUCGUGGAGGUAAUGUGUCAGGCAAGGCUCACCUCGGGCAACAACCUCUUUCCUCUGCAGUGACCCCGUUUCGCUUAUGGAUCAAAAAGACGUAGCCAGGAAAAGUGAGGACUGGGACUGGGCACCCGGGGUGGGGCCGAGCUGAGCCGUUGAUCAGAAGGGACACAAGUACAAUCCACACAGGGCAGCUCUGCAGCCUUUUGCUUCCUCUGACUGCAUUCAUCAUUGCCUUACCAGGGGUUAGAUCAAUCUAUUGCCUUUAAAACUUGUGGGUAAAGCAUCUCUUUUGAAGAAUGUGCUCUGAGGGAGAGAUCAUACUUCUUUAAAACAACCUUCUGUCGGUCUGUUUGUCCAAUGCAGGUUUCCCAGAUGCCUCAUUAGACUUUCAUUCCAAGAGCUGGCUUUCAGACCACAUUGAGCAAAUCCUCUUAAAGGUGUUAGUUGGCAUAUCAUCUUGUUAGAGGUUUCUAGAGAAGAGAAAAGUCUACUAAAUUCAGAGACAUUCUUUCCUAAUAUUGGAAUUCAAGCACCGUGACAAGUCUUUGAGAGAGAGAAAUUGUUCUCGAAGCCUGCCAUACCCAAAACGGUUUAGACUGCUUUCACAUUCCGAUACUCGACUAAAGAGUUAAUGAAGACUGUGUCUUAGCACCGGUGGUAUUUAUUUAACGUGCACUAUAAUCCCAGCUGACACUUCCUAAUGAGUUUAUUGCUGCUGUGGAGUUAAAGCUCCCCCACUCAAUAAGCAUAAACUUGAGUGUCAAAAAUGAAACAUAGUCGGCCCUGGUGCUUAAAUGGCCUGUAUUGAUCCUCCGGCAGUCUAACUGCUGUAGUCUGGUGCCAGUUCUCUAAUUUGUGCCCUGAAGUGUGCAGCCACACUUGAUUUAGAUGUCAGAAUGAGGCAGCACUCAGUUUGGGAAAUCAGCUGAAACAUUCUUAAAAAAAAUUGGUCUGGAUAGCUUCACCUUGCAUUGUAAAGACCAUUGCUCUCGUGUAAACAAGGGGCUAAAUAAUAUUAUUCCCAUAGACUUUUUUGAGGGUGUUUUAUCAAAGGAAAUGUCCUCAGAGUCAAAGCUUGCUGUGUUUUGUGCUUUAUCUGUACAGAAAAUUCCAUUUAGAGAAAUUUAAUGCCAAAGCUGUAAGAUCUGCAUUCCUAGAGAAUGACUAUUUAGGGCAUUGUCUUUGAAUAUGAAGUAAACACACACUGAGAAUGUU